Molecule: ribosomal RNA, 340 nt
Filed under: Epiperipatus sp. 9 CSC-2019
Lineage: Eukaryota; Metazoa; Onychophora; Udeonychophora; Euonychophora; Peripatidae
Description: partial small subunit ribosomal RNA
Source: RNAcentral
CCCUGCUAUUCUAAAAACAAAUAAUAUUUCAAAGAUUAAAAACAAAAUAAAUUUGACGGUAUUAACCUUUACAAAGGAAUUUGUUUCUAAAUCGAAAACACACGAUAAACCUUACUUAAUCCAUAUUUGUAUACCACCGUAAAACAGAAAUUAUUUAAAAUUAAUUUCAUAAAAAAUAAUCUUAUUAUAUCAGGUCAAGGUGCAAUUUAAUUAAGAUGAAAUGAAUUACAAUAUACAUAAACAUAUAAGAAAUGAAAUUUUCUUAAAAAAAAGAAUUUGUCAGUAAAAUUUUAUCAUAAUGUAAAUUUGAAAAAAUACAUUAAUAUGUACAUAUCGCCCG